RNAcentral lists this ribosomal RNA (301 nucleotides) under uncultured bacterium. RNAcentral's name for it is "partial 16S ribosomal RNA". It matches the Rfam family "Bacterial small subunit ribosomal RNA", at positions 509 to 807 of the family's 1533-position model. The record is from RNAcentral.
CAGCCGCCGCGGUAAUACAGAGGGUGCGAGCGUUAAUCGGAAUUACUGGGCGUAAAGCGCGCGUAGACGGUUUUGUAAGUCAGAUGUGAAAUCCCUGGGCUCAACCUGGGAACUGCAUUUGAUACUGCAUGGCUAGAGUAUCGAAGAGGGAAGUGGAAUUUCCGGUGUAGCGGUGAAAUGCGUAGAUAUCGGAAGGAACACCAGUGGCGAAAGCGACUUCCUGGUCGAGUACUGACGUUCAUGUGCGAAAGCGUUGGGAGCAAACAGGAUUAGAUACCCCUGUAGUCCCUGUCUCUUAUAC